GUCACUGUGUGCAACUCUUGUUGAACAGCAGGAGCAGAGUUGUUGGAGUACCCAGAAAACCUGUGGUCCUGGGGAACGUGGUGCCCCGUCUGCUGAAAUGGCUGUGCCACAAUGGGACCUGUCACCUGGCUGCUGGGGUUGAAUGUGAGUGGCAGGAUUUGUCACUGACAUUUCAGCAGGGUCCGGCUCUCAGCACUCGAAGGCCUUUCAGCUGCUCUUGCCUUAAGGCGAGCGGCUCUGAAGAAUGGUUCAAGGUACAAGGACCAGACCCAGGUUAAAACCUCACCCAGAAGAUGAAGAUGUUGAUCCUGGAGUGAGGCAAAGUCCCUUGGGCUCCCCACAGUCUGUGGAGAAGAAGCAAGCCCAGAGGCUCCAGACCAGGGUGGACAACAGCCCAUAAUGAUUUUCCCUGCCUCCUACAGGAAAGAAAAUAUCAGUGGCCCUCAUGACCCCAUGAUAUCAGUGAAGAGGGGACAGAUAUUGCAGUGGAGAAGACAGGAUCUGCCCAUCGUGGUGGGAUUUCUGACUGCCUGCAGCCGUGGCCUAUCAGUUUGA
This 555-nucleotide long non-coding RNA is filed under the name Calidris pugnax (ruff). RNAcentral describes it as "lncRNA (ENSCPUG00000001672.1)". Lineage: Eukaryota; Metazoa; Chordata; Aves; Charadriiformes; Scolopacidae. The record is from RNAcentral.